CCCGUUUCACCCUCAUACCGGAUGGGGUAUUGAGGUUUAUGGUUUUGGCACCCAUACCGGACGGGGUAUGGGGACGGCACUGGAAUCUGAUUACAAGUGUUAAGGGUUCACGGGUAGCAGGACCCCUAUGGAUCCCCAUGGAUACUAGUAGGCUGGUAAAUGAGGAAAAAUAUGUUGUGUAAUGAUUGAAAUGCAAAAGGCGUGAUAAGUAUUAUGUUAUACAGUUCAUAUGAUUCAUGAUGAUGAUAAUGUUAUUGCUUUCAUAUGUUGUUUUAUGAACUUCACUGAGGUAAGUGGAUAGUAAAGGAUUUUAUUAUUGAUAAAAGAAUUUGUUGUAAAUUAUGCUCCAUUGGUCUUUUUGUAUUUUCUACCUACCUUUACCUCCGUGACGAUGAGAUAGUGUGAUGUCUUUACUAGGCUGGUGUAGCUCAUUU
This 434-nucleotide long non-coding RNA is filed under the name Carica papaya (papaya). Its description in RNAcentral is "long non-coding RNA (CPAP_LNC003139)". Lineage: Eukaryota; Viridiplantae; Streptophyta; Magnoliopsida; Brassicales; Caricaceae. The record is from RNAcentral.